AUGGGUGACCGGGAUCCACGCCAAUGGUGCCAGCAUCGCCUACGCGCCAUCGGGCUCCGGGCGGCCGUGACCCCGCUGGAGUGCGGGAGGGACCUCCAGCCCCCCGGGGGGUCCCUGACUCUGCUCUGUCGCCCCUCCGGGUUCACAUUUGGGAAUAAUGGCAUGUACUGGAUCCGUCAGAGCCCCGGGAAGGCGCUGGAAUAUGUCACAGGGAUCUACAGCAGUGGCAGCACCUUCUACGCGCCGUCUGUCAAGGGCCGGUUCUCGAUCUCCAGGGACAACACGCAGAGCUCGGUGACGCUGACCAUGAACAACCUCAAGGAAGAGGAUUCCGCCGUUUAUUUCUGCGUCAAAGCUUCCUGUUCUGGUUGUACUCCUGAAGCUGGUUAUGUCUCCCCCGGUUGCCCCAAUGGUCACCACUGA
Molecule: non-coding RNA, 423 nt
Organism: Catharus ustulatus (Swainson's thrush)
Lineage: Eukaryota; Metazoa; Chordata; Aves; Passeriformes; Turdidae
Source: the annotation of a RefSeq genome assembly